UCACUGUGCAGAUCCCGCCGCCCUCUCAGACGACCACCACCAAACCCACAACGCCAUCCACACCCGCUGUCUCCAACGUCCUCAUCAACCCAUCUCUGAUUGGCUCCAAGAACAUCCUCAUUACGACCAACAUGGUGUCACAGAACUCCGGCGGAGAGUCGCUGAAGAGGAAGCAUGAAGACGACGACGACUACGACGCUUUAUGACGCUGAAUGCGAUGUCGCCACUUUUGUACUGACCUUUAAAAUAAUCUCAGCAGAGACUGUAGGAGGAACACGACGCCUGCUCACAGCGGGACUGAAGCUGGACGGUGGGUUCAAAGCUGCAGGGGAAGGAAAAGCGAUUCUCAAUAAAAUGAAUAAAAGAUG
Molecule: non-coding RNA, 368 nt
Organism: Neolamprologus brichardi
Lineage: Eukaryota; Metazoa; Chordata; Actinopteri; Cichliformes; Cichlidae
Source: RefSeq, a predicted model, not a curated record